RNAcentral lists this non-coding RNA (101 nucleotides) under Lachnospiraceae bacterium MD335. RNAcentral's name for it is "Lachnospiraceae bacterium COE1 c-di-GMP-I riboswitch aptamer". It matches the Rfam family "c-di-GMP-I riboswitch aptamer". Rfam says of the family: GEMM was predicted in a large-scale screen for bacterial structured RNA regulatory elements. Genes associated with GEMM are involved in a diverse array of functions, including chemotaxis regulation, signal transduction, secretion and chitin. Lineage: Bacteria; Bacillati; Bacillota; Clostridia; Lachnospirales; Lachnospiraceae. RNAcentral also lists the same sequence under 1 other name. The record is from Rfam by way of RNAcentral.
CAUAUUAAAAGGCAAACAUUUAGUGAUAAAUGGACGCAAAGCACGAAGUCAUAGCAAUAUAAACAUUUGAUUAUAACAUUUAUGAUGGUUCGGCUGCAUAG